RNAcentral lists this ribosomal RNA (445 nucleotides) under uncultured bacterium. RNAcentral describes it as "bacterial SSU rRNA". It matches the Rfam family "Bacterial small subunit ribosomal RNA", at positions 335 to 772 of the family's 1533-position model. The record is from RNAcentral.
ACUCCUACGGGAGGCAGCAGUAGGGAAUCUUCCACAAUGGGCGCAAGCCUGAUGGAGCAACACCGCGUGAGUGAAGAAGGGUUUCGGCUCGUAAAGCUCUGUUGUUAAAGAAGAACACGUAUGAGAGUAACUGUUCAUACGUUGACGGUAUUUAACCAGAAAGUCACGGCUAACUACGUGCCAGCAGCCGCGGUAAUACGUAGGUGGCAAGCGUUAUCCGGAUUUAUUGGGCGUAAAGAGAGUGCAGGCGGUUUUCUAAGUCUGAUGUGAAAGCCUUCGGCUUAACCGGAGAAGUGCAUCGGAAACUGGAUAACUUGAGUGCAGAAGAGGGUAGUGGAACUCCAUGUGUAGCGGUGGAAUGCGUAGAUAUAUGGAAGAACACCAGUGGCGAAGGCGGCUACCUGGUCUGCAACUGACGCUGAGACUCGAAAGCAUGGGUAGCGAA